GACAGAAGCAGAGAAAGAGAGAGAGAGAGAGAGAGAGAGAGAGAGAGAGAGAAAGGGAGAGAGAGAGAGAAAGAGAGAGAGAGAAUGCCGGCAUCGCUUAACAGACAGCACUGUGUUACACAAACGCCUCUCUAUGCUCUUUUCCUCUCUCUCUCUCACAUAUACACACUACCUCUCGAACUUUCUGCCUCUCUCUCUCUCUCUUCCUCUCCGUCUAUCUCACUUUCAUUUUUUCUUCUCUCUCUCCCUCUUUUCUCUGUCUGUCUGUCUCUCUCUCUCUCUCUCUCUCUAUAGAUAUAUAUAUAUAUAGAGAGAGAGAGACAGACAGACAGACAUAUAUAUACAUUCUCUACCUUCUUUCCUAUCUACCUACCUACCUACCUACCUCUCUAUCUAUCUACCCACCUACCUCUCUAUCUAUCUAUCUAUCUAUCUAUCUAAUUAUCUGUCUAUCUAUCUAUCUAUCUGUCUGUCUGUCAGUCUCUCUCAUAAACGUCAGUUUAUGACAUCAUAAAAAAUAAAACUUACUUCAACUUCAUCAUUAAAAAAUGAAGAAAUCCUUAUAAAAAAAAAACGAAAUUAAGAAACCAUUAAAUAUAAUUUUUAAAAAGAAUCAUUAUUUCCAUUGCUAUUAUUGUAAAUAAUUCAUUAUUAUUAUUAUACUACUACUACUACUACUAUAGAGUUCUUAGUUUUGACUGAGUUUUCAACAACAGUUGUGCUGACUCAGGCAGUUUUCACCAUUAUUCAAAUUCGGUUCCAGCCAAAAAUAAAUUCCCCCUAAAAUGGUCUUUUUUCUUUUUUAUCAAGUAGAUGAUAUAUAUUUCUAAGAAUUUAUCGAGUGUUAAGUGUUUGAAUAACAACAACAACAAUAAUAAUAAUAAUAAUAAUAAUAAUAAAGCUUUUUUAAUGUUUUACGAGAUUUCUAAUAAUGACGACGGCGACCACGAUGAUGAUGGUGAUGAUGACGACCACGAAGACGACCAUGAUGACCACCACGACGAACGGUUACAAUGAUGGUGAUGACGGACGACGCUGACGAUGUUUAAGAUGACAACAAAGAUGAUGAUGCUGAUGAUAAUGAUGAUCAUGAUGAUGCUGAUGAUAAUGAUGAUCACCAAGAUGACAAAGAUACUGACGGUUGUUAUUAUUAUUAUUACGGCGAUGAUAAUGGUGCUGACAUGAUUACCAUUAUUCCGAUGAAGACGAUGCUUGUGGCAGAAACGAUGACAACGGAUCCAGAGAUAUGACGAUGAAGUACCGAGUAGAAAAAAAAAUGGCCAGUUUUCGACACCUGCUCUUCUUCGGUUUCAAAUAUGGUUCCAAAGUUGCCGAAGUCGCUCAAGACAUUUGUGCUGUGGACAAAGAAGGCACUAUUACUAAAAGAAUUCCACGGAAGAGCCAUUCGCAUGAACGUUUUUAGAAUGUCCAGAAAAGUCAUUAUAAACCUUUAUACGUAGGUUGAAAUGAGUCAUUUUCGACUAUACAUCGGUAUUGGGACGAUUUCUUUGGAAGAUAAUGAAAAUGUUUGUCUUGAAAAUAUCAUUCCAGCUUUGUCUUGCACAUCACAUCAAAUGAGAAUGGCGACCACAGACAUCGUUGUCCAGAAAAUUCAUUAGCAUGUUUUCGAAAUUUCAAAGUUAAUGUAAAUAAAAACCAUGAGGCUUUUUUAUGCUGUUCUGGAGAAAUUCA
Long non-coding RNA from Octopus bimaculoides (California two-spot octopus), 1692 nucleotides. NCBI's taxonomy places the organism in Eukaryota, Metazoa, Mollusca, Cephalopoda, Octopoda, Octopodidae. The record is from RefSeq and is a predicted model, not a curated record.